AACGAACGCUGGCGGCAGGCUUAACACAUGCAAGUCGAACGCCCGUAGCAAUACGGGAGUGGCGGACGGGUGAGUAACGCGUGGGAACGUACCCUGAGGUACGGAAUAACCGAGGGAAACUUCGGCUAAUACCGUAUGAGCCCUGCAAGGGGGAAGAUUUAUCGCCUUGGGAGCGGCCCGCGUCGGAUUAGCUAGUUGGUGGGGUAACGGCCUACCAAGGCUUCGAUCCGUAGCUGGUCUGAGAGGACGAUCAGCCACACUGGGACUGAGACACGGCCCAGACUCCUACGGGAGGCAGCAGUGGGGAAUCUUGCGCAAUGGGGGCAACCCUGACGCAGCCAUGCCGCGUGAACGAUGAAGGCCUUAGGGUUGUAAAGUUCUUUUACCCGUGACGAUGAUGACGGUAACGGGGAAUAAGCUCCGGCUAACUUCGUG
This 435-nucleotide ribosomal RNA is filed under the name uncultured bacterium. RNAcentral describes it as "bacterial SSU rRNA". It matches the Rfam family "Bacterial small subunit ribosomal RNA", at positions 29 to 507 of the family's 1533-position model. The record is from RNAcentral.